AAUGACAGUGAACUUGCUGGGACGUAUCUACCCAACUAUUCACCUGGGUCCCAAAGAUACUGAAUAAGUGAUUAGGUGAUCUCAUCUCAAGAUAUCUUGUCUCUGAGAUAAGGUGAAACAGGUUGCCUCCAAGUGUCUGGCCUGUUGGCUGAUCAACACCAAGUCAGCUGGAAGACAGCCUGGGGUGGGGCCUAGUGGACACCACCCAGGGCUCACCGGGAGAUUGACUUCACUGGGGUAAAACAUAUCUACUCGCUUUAAUAGACAUCUUUUCAGGAUGGGUAGAGACUUUCCCUACCAAGCACAAGAUGGUGGUCGAGAAACUGCUACAAGACAUCAUCCCAAGGUAUGGAACACCUGCUCUGCAAGGCUCAGACAAUGGACCAGUGUUUGCUGCCCAGUGACGUCAGUAUUCAAGGACAUCUGCCCAAGAUUACAGAAGGUGUAUAAAAAGGCCCCACCACCCACUCCACACCAGGAGAUUGUGUCUAUAUCUGUAGACAUCAACACAAGACCCAAAAGUCUCACUAGAAGGAACCCUACACUGUGAUCCUGACCACUUCCGCUGCCAUCAAGGUUGACGGGAUUGUCACCCGGAUCCACCACUCCCAUGCCCAUGCUGCUGAUCUGGAGUGGACUGAGUUGCUAAGACUACUACCAGAGAACACCAGACCCCACCAGAACUGAACUGCAAAACCUGACUCUGACAACCCCUCAAACUUAAGCUCAGGGCCCUGUAAAAUAAAGAUGCUGUUUUUGCUGG
Myodes glareolus (Bank vole) is the source of this 763-nucleotide long non-coding RNA. RefSeq lists it as uncharacterized. The record is from RefSeq and is a predicted model, not a curated record. Lineage: Eukaryota; Metazoa; Chordata; Mammalia; Rodentia; Cricetidae.